AUUGCAUUCAAUUACACCAAUAAAAUGAACAGUUCGUCUCGUGUACAACUUCCGCAGAGGUCUGGCACUAAAAUCACAUAAAUAUUCACUUCAGAAUCCAGACCAAAAGAACAUUGCAUAAAACAGAAAACACACGGCUGCUGACGAGAAAACUGGGCAGCGCUUGCAUAUGUAGUUGGUCCAUCCCAUUGGUUACCGAUAUCACUCCGAUCACCCUCGGCCCCUGCCUCCAACUCUGUUGCCACCAGGUUUUCCACCAGGGCCACAGAGU
RNAcentral lists this unclassified non-coding RNA (271 nucleotides) under Hevea brasiliensis (rubber tree). The record is from RNAcentral. Lineage: Eukaryota; Viridiplantae; Streptophyta; Magnoliopsida; Malpighiales; Euphorbiaceae.